CAGCCGCCGCGGGAAUACGUAGGUGGCGAGCGUUGUCCGGAUUUAUUGGGCGUAAAGGGAGUGUAGGCGGUCUUUUAAGUCUGAUGUGAAAGCCCACGGCUCAACCGUGGAGGGUCAUUGGAAACUGGGAGACUUGAGUGCAGAAGAGGAGAGCGGAAUUCCAUGUGUAGCGGUGAAAUGCGUAGAGAUGUGGAGGAACACCAGUGGCGAAGGCGACUCUCUGGUCUGUAACUGACGCUGAGGAGCGAAAGCGUGGGGAGCGAACAGGAUUAGAUACCCCCGUAGUCCCUGUCUCUUAUAA
This 301-nucleotide ribosomal RNA is filed under the name uncultured bacterium. Its description in RNAcentral is "partial 16S ribosomal RNA". It matches the Rfam family "Bacterial small subunit ribosomal RNA", at positions 509 to 809 of the family's 1533-position model. The record is from RNAcentral.